GCCCCCGUAGUUUAAUGGAUAAAAUUAUAGAUUCCGGUUCUAUUGAUAGCAGUUCGAUUCUGCUCGGGGGUA
Molecule: transfer RNA, 72 nt
Filed under: Bacteroidales bacterium
Lineage: Bacteria; Pseudomonadati; Bacteroidota; Bacteroidia; Bacteroidales
Description: tRNA-Arg
Rfam family: tRNA
About the family: Transfer RNA (tRNA) molecules are approximately 80 nucleotides in length. Their secondary structure includes four short double-helical elements and three loops (D, anti-codon, and T loops). Further hydrogen bonds mediate the characteristic L-shaped molecular structure. tRNAs have two regions of fundamental functional importance: the anti-codon, which is responsible for specific mRNA codon recognition, and the 3' end, to which the tRNAs corresponding amino acid is attached (by aminoacyl-tRNA synthetases). tRNAs cope with the degeneracy of the genetic code in two manners: having more than one tRNA (with a specific anti-codon) for a particular amino acid; and 'wobble' base-pairing, i.e. permitting non-standard base-pairing at the 3rd anti-codon position.
Source: RNAcentral